This 30-nucleotide non-coding RNA is filed under the name Homo sapiens (human). The record is from RNAcentral. Lineage: Eukaryota; Metazoa; Chordata; Mammalia; Primates; Hominidae.
UUCCAGGGCUUGUGUUUGAUCACUCUCUGU